AAAACACCCGGCCGCUGGGGCAGCGCCGCCCAAGGAGGGUGGAAGGGCGCUGCUCCGGGAUGGAGACCAGAGGGGCGGCUCUGGGGCCGCCUCGGGCGGGGGACCCCCUGAGCCUUCGCUUGAGCGGCGCCGUGGAUCGGAAGCAGCGCGGGCCCGCAGCCACAAUUUCACCAAAGUCCAAGAAGCAGGAGGCUGCGCGCGCCGGGGGCUGCAGCCUUUUCCAUUAGCCCCUGCUCCGGGCUGGGGAAGCGGGAAUAGCGAGUCUUUCCCGACUCGGAGGACCUGGCACGGUGUGGCCUGCGCUCCACGGGGCUCCCAGUUUCCUCCAAACCUCUCAAGAGCCCGUGGGAUUUUACCCUUUCACCUGCCUCCGCUUCUGCUGUAUCUUGUCCCAGUUCGUUAAGUGUGAAGGUCUCAGCAGCCACACCUCGACAGCAUACCGGGAACUCUCAAUACUCCUCUACCCAUUAGCAAUA
Molecule: long non-coding RNA, 476 nt
Filed under: Homo sapiens (human)
Lineage: Eukaryota; Metazoa; Chordata; Mammalia; Primates; Hominidae
Description: non-protein coding lnc-PGPEP1L-1:3
Source: RNAcentral